RNAcentral lists this ribosomal RNA (907 nucleotides) under uncultured archaeon. RNAcentral's name for it is "bacterial SSU rRNA". It matches the Rfam family "Archaeal small subunit ribosomal RNA", at positions 44 to 953 of the family's 1478-position model. The record is from RNAcentral.
UUAAGCCAUGCGAGUCAAAUGUUCUUCGUGAACAUGGCGUACUGCUCAGUAACACGUGGAUAACCUGCCGUUAGGACUGGCAUAACCCCGGGAAACUGGGGAUAAUUCCGGAUAGUUCAUGGUAGCUGGAAUGCUCCAUGAUCGAAAGCUAUUGCGCCUAAGGAUGUGUCUGCGGUCUAUCAGGUAGUAGUGGGUGUAAUGUACCUACUAGCCGACGACGGAUACGGGUUGUGGGAGCAAGAGCCCGGAGAUGGAUUCUGAGACAUGAAUCCAGGCCCUACGGGGCGCAGCAGGCGCGAAAACUUUACAAUGCGGGAAACCGCGAUAAGGGGACACCGAGUGCCAGCAUCUUAUGUUGGCUGUCCGCAUGUAUAAAUCACAUGUGUUAGCAAGGGCCGGGCAAGACCGGUGCCAGCCGCCGCGGUAACACCGGCGGCCCGAGUGGUGGCCACUAUUAUUGGGUCUAAAGGGUCCGUAGCCGGUUUGGUCAGUCUUCCGGGAAAUCUGACGGCUUAACCGUUAGGCUUUCGGGGGAUACUACCAGGCUUGGGACCGGGAGAGGUAAGAGGUACUACGGGGGUAGGAGUGAAAUCUUGUAAUCCUCGUGGGACCACCAGUGGCGAAGGCGUCUUACCAGAACGGGUCCGACGGUGAGGGACGAAAGCUGGGGGCACGAACCGGAUUAGAUACCCGGGUAGUCCCAGCCGUAAACUAUGCUCGCUAGGUGUCAGGGACGGUGCGACCGUUUCUGGUGCCGCAGGGAAGCCGUGAAGCGAGCCACCUGGGAAGUACGGUCGCAAGGCUGAAACUUAAAGGGAUUGGCGGGGGAGCACUACAACGGGUGGAGCCUGCGGUUUAAUUGGACUCAACGCCGGAAAACUCACCGGGGGCGACAGCAAUAUGUAGG